RNAcentral lists this ribosomal RNA (210 nucleotides) under uncultured bacterium. RNAcentral's name for it is "partial 16S ribosomal RNA". It matches the Rfam family "Bacterial small subunit ribosomal RNA", at positions 1283 to 1500 of the family's 1533-position model. The record is from RNAcentral.
UAGUCUCAGUUCGGAUCGGAGUCUGCAACCCGACUCCGCGAAGCUGGAUUCGCUAGUAAUCGCGCAUCAGCCAUGGCGCGGUGAAUACGUUCCCGGGCCUUGUACACACCGCCCGUCAAGCCAUGGAAGCCGGGGGUGCCUGAAGUGUGCGGCCGCAAGGAGCGCCCUAAGGUAAAACCGGUGACUGGGGCUAAGUCGUAACAAGGUAAC